GGGUCGGCGUCGCGUCGCCCGCCGUUGCCAUUUCCGCAUUCGGUGCCCAGGAAGUGGGCGGCGAGGCCUCUCGGUCUCCAAGACUCCUUCUUUCUCCAGCCUGCGAUGGCUGAGCCCCGCAUCCGCGUCCGGCCCGGUCCCAAGUCCCCGUAGGCCCUGCGAGGCUGGCUGCUGGGUUCCCUGUGCUGACACUUUUUCAACCAGGCCUUCUUCGAGCCAUUUCUUAGUCUGGGCACGCGAAGAGAGACAUAGGCUGACCCCAGUGAUCUCUCUAAAGACAACUGAGCGGGCCAGCACACUCACAGAGCUCAGCAUGGUAUCCAUGAUCUUAAACAGGGUCGCCAAAUGUUCUAAUUUCCCGUUUUCAGGCCCUGUGUGUAUAAGCCGUGUGGAGCCUAGGGCACUAAGCCAUACCCCACUCACUCCUCUUAAUGUUUGAGAGGAGGGCUUUUAUUGUUGGUGGUUUAGGUUUGGAAUUUUGAGACAUGAUCUCACGUGGCUAAUAAUACUAGCCUCAGUAGUAGCCAAGGCUGGCCUUGAACUCUUGAUCCUCUGUCUCCACCUGGUCGUGUAUGAUGGUAAGUCUGUACUAUCAUGCUCAACGAUGUUUUACUUUGAGACAGUCUCAUUAAGUUGCCCCGGCUGACUUUGAACUUUCUAUGCUUCUGCCUUAGCCUCCUGUGUGGCUGGGAGUUGGGAACCGUGCUUAACCAGGUCCAUCUUUGUCAGGAUUCUCUGAGGAAGAGAACCCUUGCACUUUAUAAAAUGGCAAAGGGAUUGGUCAGGUUGACUUACACAGUCAAAGAUGAGGUGUUUCCCGUGUCUGCACACAUGGGAGAGCCAAAUCACAAAACAGGAGGUGUCAGCACAAGAAGCUGCCUUGGCAGGUGGCAACCAUCUACUGUCUGGGUGCUGGGACUCAAACCUAGGGCCUCUGCGAGAGCAUUAUAUGCUUUUAACCGCUGAUUCAUCUCUCCAGCCCCCAGAAGAGACAUUUUCUUCGGUGAUGUAGUCAGUUAAGCUGUUCAUGUGCCUUGAAGUAACCCCUUACUCAUUCCCACGUAAGCAGCCCUGACAGAGCUCCGUGGGGCACUGUUGUGGGGCAGUUUCCUCCAGAAUAAAACCUACUUUGGAGGGUAGCUCCUUAAGUUCAGGAAGUAAACAACUCAAAGGCUUCAGAUAGCUUCAAAAGCGACCUGAAACUGACCAGACUGACUAGGUCCCUCCUUUCCUUCCCCAAGCACAUAUAAACAGAACUGCUGAGAGAUGCUCUCAGGAAAGCUGGGCUGCCUGGAAAGAGACCCACUACUAGCUGUCAAGCUGCCUGCAAGGUGUGCAGUGUGCUUCUGGUUUCCAGCUUUACUGGACGGUCACCCAUGCUGGCAUGGGCUUUGUUGGAGUUCUGCUCUGAAGAAGUCACUUAAGGAAACUGGAAGGCUCCUUUGAAUCAAGAUUUGGAGGAGCAGGAGUGAAGGGGUUAGUGUGGGGGAAGUGGAGACCGGAAUGAAUAUAAGGCGGAUGGAGACAGGAGCUCGGCCC
Molecule: long non-coding RNA, 1539 nt
Organism: Peromyscus maniculatus bairdii (prairie deer mouse)
Lineage: Eukaryota; Metazoa; Chordata; Mammalia; Rodentia; Cricetidae
Source: RefSeq, a predicted model, not a curated record